Molecule: long non-coding RNA, 234 nt
Filed under: Neogale vison (American mink)
Lineage: Eukaryota; Metazoa; Chordata; Mammalia; Carnivora; Mustelidae
Description: Neovison vison (American mink) lncRNA (ENSNVIG00000021022.1)
Source: RNAcentral
GUAGGUUAGUGGUGCGACAUUUAGGGAAGGCAGAAAGUAGGUCAGGGACGGAGGUGCCUGUUUACCCGCGCCGGACUCACCGCCGCCGCCGCCGCGGGAUCCGAGUGGGGGCGCGGACGCGGGCGCUCCCGCGAGCCACGGUGGUGCUGGCUGGAGUGCACACUUUUGGACCCAAACUUAAGUUUUCAAAUGUGGACUCCUAGAUCUUCACUGGUAAGUCUGCUCGAUGCCUUC